AGGGUUCGAUUCUGGCUCAGGAUGAACGCUAGCUACAGGCUUAACACAUGCAAGUCGAGGGGCAGCAUUGGAGUAGCAAUACUUCAGAUGGCGACCGGCGCACGGGUGAGUAACACGUAUCCAACCUGCCGCUUACUCGGGGAUAGCCUUUCGAAAGAAAGAUUAAUACCCGAUGGUAUAAAGAGUUCGCAUGUUCUCUUUAUUAAAGAAUUUCGGUAAGCGAUGGGGAUGCGUUCCAUUAGAUAGUUGGCGGGGUAACGGCCCACCAAGUCUACGAUGGAUAGGGGUUCUGAGAGGAAGGUCCCCCACAUUGGAACUGAGACACGGUCCAAACUCCUACGGGAGGCAGCAGUGAGGAAUAUUGGUCAAUGGACGAGAGUCUGAACCAGCCAAGUAGCGUGAAGGAUGACUGCCCUAUGGGUUGUAAACUUCUUUUAUAUGGGAAUAAAGGAGCCUACGUGUAGGUUUUUGUAUGUACCAUACGAAUAAGGAUCGGCUAACUCCGUGCCAGCCGCAGC
Molecule: ribosomal RNA, 518 nt
Filed under: uncultured bacterium
Lineage: Bacteria
Description: bacterial SSU rRNA
Rfam family: Bacterial small subunit ribosomal RNA
Source: RNAcentral